This 170-nucleotide ribosomal RNA is filed under the name Ilex paraguariensis (yerba mate). Its description in RNAcentral is "5.8S ribosomal RNA". The stretch from base 1 to 117 matches the Rfam family "5.8S ribosomal RNA", at positions 40 to 154 of the family's 154-position model. From Rfam's summary of the family: 5.8S ribosomal RNA (5.8S rRNA) is a component of the large subunit of the eukaryotic ribosome. It is transcribed by RNA polymerase I as part of the 45S precursor that also contains 18S and 28S rRNA. Lineage: Eukaryota; Viridiplantae; Streptophyta; Magnoliopsida; Aquifoliales; Aquifoliaceae. The record is from RNAcentral.
AGAACGUAGCGAAAUGCGAUACUUGGUGUGAAUUGCAGAAUCCCGUGAACCAUCGAGUUUUUGAACGCAAGUUGCGCCCAAAGCCAUUAGGCUAAGGGCACGUCUGCCUGGGCGUCACGCAUCACGUCGCCCCCAACCCCAAUGCCCGGAUGUUGCGGGGGAGUUGGGGG